UUUCGGGUGAGCCCCUCUUUUGGGUCCCUUUUGGGCUUCCUUCGGGCUCUUUUACCGAGUGCUUUACGUGGCAUCGGGAUACCAUGAAGCCUUCUCCAUCUACCCUUGCACUUUCUGUGUUUUGGGGAAGAUUCAUUAUCACUCUCCCAGCUGGAGAGGGGUUCCCUUGCACUCGCUGAGUGUAAGGGAGGAAAAAAAGAAAAAGACUAUCUCUGAGAAGCGGCUUCGAAUACCUCUGUUAUACAGAGGCCAAAAAAGUGCUCUUCUCUCUUAGUUUUUACCCAGACGCUCUCUUCGUUGCGUUGUGGGGAAGAUUUAUUUACCCUCUUCGACAUCAAAGAAGGAGAUUACCUGCUCGUUUAUGAGUGUGGGAGAGACAGGGCCAGGAGGAAAAGAGAAGCAGCCUUAAAUACCUCUGUUAGAGCGGAGGCUUUAUCUUUAUUUGUAUUUUUUGUUUUAUUUUGUAAAGGACCACUUGCUUUUAAUUUCUGCUUUUGUCACAAAAUAAUAAAAAUCACCUGAGUCUGAUUUUAGACUAGGGGAGCCAACUUUUGCCAGUCCUUUAUUUUCUCUGGGAUCGUACCGCCCGCUGUCAAGCGGGGAGGGUUUCCACCCUUACGGGGGUUAGCGACUCCUCUUUAACCGCCCGUGGAGAGUUGCCUCCCGGCGGGGAUUGACUUGGACACGCAGACCUCCUGUUAUCUCCUAGUGGGAGUGCAUUUCCCUAUCCGCCCGGCCUGGUCAGAGCCUCUGAGCAUCCCCCUCUCUCAGUCCGGCGACCAAGAAGGGCAAGGCGGGCGUCCUUGAGAAGGAAGGGACCUCCGUGACCCUGGGAGGACGGCUGAGACCUUUGGGCCAAGGGUCAAUCUCCCAUGCUGAGCAAUGAAACACAUGCAGAAGUGCCAAAAACUGCAGUUCAUCAAGUGGCUGCUUGAGGCUGGCUCCAGAAAUGCCUGUAGCAAGAGGAGACUAGCUGCUGGUGUCCCCGUCAGUUCAGCUAAAGCUAACACCACUCACUGCAGUUGACGUCCUGGCCUUUCAGACAAUUCUCAAGCAAAAAUCUGACGCAUAAUAUGGCUUGCUGUGGGGUUAGGGUUAAGGUUAAUGGACCCUCCCAAGAAGUCAACCCUCCACUUCUUUCGGUGAUUCAGACAGGCUGGACCAGUGUUUGCUCAACCUGAGAAGACAGAAUUGGACUCCUAACAGGACUCGUCUGUGCAGUGAACACUGAGAGUCAUCACUUCAUCACUACUUUGAAAGGCAUCACUUGUUUUAAGACAUUAACAUUUUGCAAAAUUAUGACACUUGGUUGUUAUUCAUCAGUUCUAUUAUAAUACACAAAUUUUUCAUUUAUUUAAAGUUAACUUAAAGGGGUGAU
Long non-coding RNA from Perca fluviatilis (European perch), 1378 nucleotides. RefSeq lists it as uncharacterized. The record is from RefSeq and is a predicted model, not a curated record. The transcript has 4 exons. Lineage: Eukaryota; Metazoa; Chordata; Actinopteri; Perciformes; Percidae.